GGCGGCUUGCCGUUAAACCCCUAUAUUUCUAGUGGUUGACCUCGGAUUAGGUAGGAAUACCCGCUGAACUUAAGCAUAUCAAUAAGCGGAGGAAAAGAAACCAACAGGGAUUGCCCUAGUAACGGCGAGUGAAGCGGCAACAGCUCAAAUUUGAAAUCUGGCCCUAGCGGUCCGAGUUGUAAUUUGUAGAGGAUGCUUUUGGUUAGGUGCCUUCUGAGUUCCCUGGAACGGGACGCCAGAGAGGGUGAGAGCCCCGUACGGUUGGACACCGAGCCUCUAUAUAGCUCCUUCGACGAGUCGAGUAGUUUGGGAAUGCUGCUCUAAAUGGGAGGUAAAUUUCUUCUAAAGCUAAAUACCGGCCAGAGACCGAUAGCGCACAAGUAGAGUGAUCGAAAGAUGAAAAGUACUUUGAAAAGAGGGUUAAAUAGCACGUGAAAUUGUUGAAAGGGAAGCGUUUGCGACCAGACUUUUUCCAGGCGGAUCAUCCGGUGUUCUCACCGGUGCACUUCGCCUGGUUUAGGCCAGCAUCGGUUCUCUUAGGGGGAUAAAGGCCUGGGGAACGUAGCUCCUUCGGGAGUGUUAUAGCCCCUAGCGUAAUACCCUUCGGGGGACCGAGGAACGCG
This 623-nucleotide ribosomal RNA is filed under the name Daldinia loculata. RNAcentral describes it as "eukaryotic LSU rRNA". It matches the Rfam family "Eukaryotic large subunit ribosomal RNA", at positions 1 to 597 of the family's 3401-position model. The record is from RNAcentral. Lineage: Eukaryota; Fungi; Ascomycota; Sordariomycetes; Xylariales; Hypoxylaceae.